GUGUUGUUUCCCUCAUACAAAGGUAGAUUGGAAGCAAUAACCCUGCACAUCUUCCACAAUCCCGACCUGUUCAAGGCCUACAGUUCAGAAGGACAUUUGAAAGAAGCAGAAAUUCAGUUUGGAGAUAAUCCAUCAGCUCGACUAAGGCAGUCACCAUCCCAUAGCCACCACCAAAAGCCAGUUUGAAAUGGAUCAAGUGAAUCAGUUUCCUCCAAGUCUGUCUGGAGUAGUACUAUAGCUGUUUGAGACUUCCAGUGGGAUGCUUAUGGAUUGUAGUUCUUUGUGUAAGUUGCAGGGUCCUUUAUAUUUCCAUUGAAGUCAAGAGCAUAUCAAGCAUUUGAAGCCUGUGAAGAGAGGCCAUUCAUGUGAUAAAGGGACAUGCUGGGAGGCCAUCAGGACGUCUGCCACAAACAUCAUGUUCUUGGCGCAUUCCUUGCCUAAUCACAUGGACUGGUAAGGCAUCAUCCAAACCGGCCCUAUAUUUAUAGAACAUGUGAUGCAGUGGGUGCUCAGUAGAUAAAGGUUUAUGUUAUUCAAGAAUAAUAUUUCAAUACUGUAUGUUCCAAAACA
Molecule: long non-coding RNA, 570 nt
Organism: Hemicordylus capensis (graceful crag lizard)
Lineage: Eukaryota; Metazoa; Chordata; Lepidosauria; Squamata; Cordylidae
Exons: 3
Source: RefSeq, a predicted model, not a curated record